This is a non-coding RNA of Cinara cedri, 307 nucleotides long. The record is from the annotation of a GenBank genome assembly. NCBI's taxonomy places the organism in Eukaryota, Metazoa, Arthropoda, Insecta, Hemiptera, Aphididae.
AGAAAUAUACUCCAUCGAUAAACUUUGCUGUCAACUCAAUUAACCUGUCAUCAUUGAGUAGGUUUGUUUUGUAUUCUUUUACGUCACAUCUUUUUUGUUCGGGUAACUGUUUUCGCCCACAUUUUUUAUUCAGUAAUUUGUUUCCGAUAUUAUCGGAUUCGUGCAGUGCCUAUCACUCAUACUUAUAUAUAAAGUAUAAUAAUAUAUUUUUCAAUGCCUACGCAGUGCGUGUAAUGUCAUAACACAUAACGAUAUUCGUAAUUAAAACAUAUGAAAUAAAUUAAAAAUUUUCUUCUUUGAAUCGGCA